GACGAACGCUGGCGGCGUGCCUAAUACAUGCAAGUCGAGCGGACUUUCAAGAAGUUUGCUUUUUGAAAGUUAGCGGCGGACGGGUGAGUAACACGUGGGCAACCUGCCUGCAAGACGGGGAUAACUCCGGGACACCGGGGCUAAUACCGGAUAAUAUCUUCCUUCGCAUGAAGGAAGGUUGAAAGGCGGCGCAAGCUGCCGCUUGCAGAUGGGCCCGCGGCGCAUUUGCUAGUUGGUGAGGUAACGGCUCACCAAGGCGACGAUGCGUAGCCGACCUGAGAGGGUGAGCGGCCACACUGGGACUGAGACACGGCCCAGACGCCUACGGGAGGCAGCAGUAGGGAAUCUUCCGCAAUGGACGAAAGUCUGACGGAGCAACGCCGCGUGAGCGAAGAAGGUCUUCGGAUCGGAAAGCUCUGUUGUCAGGGAAGAACAAGUACCGUUCGAACAGGGCGGUACCUUGACGGUACCUGAACAGAAAGCCACGGCUAACUACGUG
RNAcentral lists this ribosomal RNA (499 nucleotides) under uncultured bacterium. RNAcentral describes it as "partial 16S ribosomal RNA". It matches the Rfam family "Bacterial small subunit ribosomal RNA", at positions 28 to 507 of the family's 1533-position model. The record is from RNAcentral.